RNAcentral lists this ribosomal RNA (376 nucleotides) under uncultured bacterium. Its description in RNAcentral is "bacterial SSU rRNA". It matches the Rfam family "Bacterial small subunit ribosomal RNA", at positions 524 to 898 of the family's 1533-position model. The record is from RNAcentral.
AACGUAGGAGGCGAGCGUUAUCCGGAUUUAUUGGGCGUAAAGCGCAUGCAGGUGGUUUCGUAAGUCGGAUGUGAAAGCCUCUGGCUUAACUAGAGGAGGUCGUUCGAUACUGCGGAACUGGAGGUCGGAAGAGGGAAGCGGAAUUCCCGGUGUAGUGGUGGAAUGCGUAGAUAUCGGGAGGAACACCAGUGGCGAAGGCGACUUCCUGGUCCGUACCUGACGCUAAGAUGCGAAAGCGUGGGGAGCGAACGGGAUUAGAUACCCCGGUAGUCCACGCUGUAAACGAUGGGUACUGGGUAUUGGUGGUAUUGACCCCAUCAGUGCCGAAGCUAACGCGUUAAGUACCCCGCCUGGGGACUACGGCCGCAAGGUUAAA